GGUACUCGCAUGCAGCUGAACUGUACUGAGCACCUCCUCGCAUUGCGCUGCGCUUCAGCUCGCGGCAGAGACCAUGUAGUCCUGCUCACACUGAGGACACUGUAAUGGCUACUCGCAGCAUGCAUGCGCUCACAUAACACUGCUGUUUAACAAUCCGACAACUAUGCAUCAUGCAUCUGACGCUUCUCUCCAUUUUGCUCGUGAGCACCCUCGUUUCCGGGUUGCAGUCAUCAGGGAGCACUGCAGCGCGCGUAGAGAAUGAGUCUGUUGUGGAUGUUGUGGAUUCAGUGCGGGUGGAGCAGGAUGCCACUGCACCAUCUUCAACACACAAUGGGAGCACCAAGGAGGCGGAGCACACUAUCACGUACCCGUCUCGCCUCAUUUACUACCUGAAUGAGCAAUCUGAGAGCACUUACCAUAAUCUGAACACUCAGGCCAAGAUCCCGGGCCAGCAGGGCCAGAUCGUCCAUUUGGCUCAAGCCAGUUUUCAGCUUGAGGCUUUUGGAUCCAGAUUCAUACUAGACCUCAUAUUAAACAAUGACCUACUAUCUUCCGAUUAUGUGGAGAUUCACUAUGAGGAAGGAAAACCCAUAACAUCCAAGGGUGGGGAACAUUGUUAUUACCGUGGCCAAGUGAGGGGGAACGAGGUGUCUCGAGUAGCCAUAUCAACCUGUGAUGGCUUACAUGGCAUGUUUGAUGAUGGCGUUUAUGUGUAUUUUAUUGAGCCUUUGAAACACUCUAUUGAUGGAGCGGCCAGACCCCACAGACUGUACAGGACGCCUAGCUUUCUAAGCUCUCAUGACCCUAAGGACACAGAUGGGGAGGAGGACCAGCUGGAUGACAUGGCUUGGCUGCGGCGCAGGAAAAAGCGUGCUAUGCCAAGGAAUGUGUUUGAGGAAAUGAAGUAUAUCGAGCUCAUGAUUGUCAGCGACCACAAUAUGUUUAAGAGACAAAAGACCAAACAACAAACACGUAACUUUGCAAAGUCUGUGGUCAACCUGGUGGAUGCUAUCUUUACAGAACAAUUGAAUACACGUGUGGUUCUGGUUGCUAUGGAAAUAUGGACAGAUAAAGACCAUAUUCCAAUCAGUGUGAUGCCACUGGACUUGCUCCGAGACUUUGCCAAAUACCGUCAGCAACACAUCAGACAGCAUGCAGAUGCAGUGCACCUGUUCUCUAACGUGACAUUUCACUAUCGUCAGAGCAGUGCAGCAUUGUUCGGGGGCAUGUGUUCACUCAGCCGUGGGGUUGGCGUGAAUGAGUAUGGAUCUGCAUCGACUGUGGCUGUGUCACUGUCCCAGAGUCUGGCUCAGAACUUGGGCAUUCAAUGGGAUCCGGCAUCCAGUAAAAAUAAGGAGUGCGGCUGUGUUGAUUCAUGGGUGGGUUGCAUCAUGGAGGACACAGGAGUGCAGCACCCGCGAAGGUUUUCCAAGUGUAGUGUUUCCGACUAUAAAGAGUUCCUUCUGAAAGGUGGAGGAUCAUGUCUCUUCAACAGGCCCAACAAGCUGUUCGAGCCAACAGAAUGUGGAAAUGGCUAUGUGGAGGUGGGAGAGGAGUGUGACUGCGGUCUAAGAGCUGAAUGCUAUAAGGAAUGCUGCAAGAAGUGUUCUUUGUCAAACGGAGCACACUGCAGUGAUGGACCUUGCUGCAACAACACCUGUCUGUUUUUCCCAAGAGGCUAUAGCUGUCGCUAUGCAGUGUCUGACUGUGAUAUUUCAGAGACCUGCUCAGGAGACUCUGGACAGUGCCCUCCUAACCUUCACAAACAGGAUGGCUCACUGUGCAAUCUUGACCAGGGACGCUGCUAUAGUGGAGAGUGUAAGACCAGAGAAAACCAGUGCAAAUAUGUGUGGGGUCCGAAGUCUGGGGGGUCAGAGAAGUUUUGCUAUGAGAAGUUGAACACAGAAGGAUCUGAAAAGGGGAACUGUGGGGAGAAUGGAGACAAAUGGAUCCAGUGUGGAAAGCAUGAUGUGUUCUGUGGGUAUCUUCUCUGCACUAAUGUUGGGCCAGUUCCCCGUAUCGGAAGAAUAAAGGGAGAAAUUACUCCCACAUCCUUUAACCACCAGGGCCGACUGAUUGAAUGCAGUGGUGGUCAUGUGUUAUUGGAUGAUGACACUGAUUUGGGUUACGUGGAAGAUGGGACGCCAUGUGGGCCUUCCAUGAUGUGCCUUGACCGUAAGUGUCUGCCCAUCCAGUUUCUCAACAUGAGUGCCUGUCCUACUGGCCCCAAUGGCCGCAUCUGCUCAAACCAUGGGGUUUGCAAUAAUGAAGCGACGUGUUCGUGUGAUGUGACAUGGGCGGGGACUGACUGCAGCAUACCCGACCCUCCGAAAAAACCUGCUUCCAAUGAAGAAGAAGAACCAAAGGGUUUGUCGUUCUGUCAUUAUUUCUCACGUACUCUUACGCAUAAACACACAAUGUGUGUCAAACGUUCCUAACACACAUUUGGGUUUAAAGUUUUGUUUGUAAAUUGAUCUGACGCCCCAUGCAUAUAGAGCAUUCUUUAAGAAACCCUCACGGAUAAAGCUGUUCUGUGACAGAGCAGAAGCAUGGUUAGUAAUGACGCUCCCUCUCUCUCAUGCACAGCAAAUGUGGCCACUAACAGGCUGAUAGGGGCUCUAGCAGGGACAGUUCUGGCCCUGGGGGUUCUGUUUGGAGGAACUGGGUGGGGACUUGAAAACGUCAAAAAGCGAAGGUACGACCCGAACGCAGCCGCCAUCUAGUGGAGACAAUGGACAAUGAUCCUCAAAGGAUCCUUAAGUACUCUACAGCUGGACUAAAAUUUUGCUGCUCUUUCUGACAUUAGUUAUAAAAUAUUCUACAAAAUAAAAUAUGAAAUCCAGUAGAUAACAAACCAUAUCUUAGUUAUGUAGAACUACCGCUUCUUGGCUCUGGCCUGUUUUAAACCCCAAGCUUACUGACUGAUGUGGUAUUAUUUCCAGGCCUCUUCUUUCAUGACGAGCAAUCCCACUUCAUCAUUUUAUUACACCACAGAGCACCAGCUACUCUGACACCCUGCCCAAAGGGCUGCAUGGCUACCUAUGCUUACUGAUAUGUAAUAGAACAGAGCAGUACUCCCUCUGAAAGGGAAAGGAGCCCUUUCACGCCUACCUAGGAGAAGGCUAAGUUCCGCUCACUGAACUCCAGUUACUCUGGGAUCGAUGUGAAUUACUGUAAUACUGCAACUUCCUCAGAGGUUUAUUACAUCAAGUUGAACAAAGCUGCAUAUAGGCCUUAACAUACUACACAUAUCACAUAGAGACAUGGAGUGGACUGGGCUCUACUGCUCCACAGGCAGAGAAUGAGUUAAGGUGCUGAUCUAUGAGAUCAUUUUACACUGACUGUUUCAGCAUUAUGUUUUGCUUUGGAUAGAGCAUGUUGUAUAGUAGGCAUAGUUUGAAACAGUCAAACGACCAAUUUUUCUCAUUCAUGCUUAACUCAAAUAUAUAAGUGUCGUUUAAAUUUAAAGAUGCAUUAAAUGCAGGUAUACAGUAUCUCAGAUAAGGGGUUUCUGUGGGUGUGAAACUGGAUAAGUUUCAUCUUGACAGUGAUUUAAAGCCAAAGAAAUAUCUGCUAAUGGAGAACACCGUUCCCUUUGUAAUAGACAUGGUGGAAGCUUUCGAUUAAACACAUGCAAAAAAUAAAUAAAUAAAUAAUUAAAUUCAAAUAAAAAAGCUGACCAUUGGCCAUAUCACAUUCUUGGGAGAGGUUAAAUAACAGUAAGCUUGAAGAUGUUUCAUUACUCAUCCAUUUCUGAACUGAUUUAGUUGCCGAAGCCAUCAUGCCGAAGAGUCGAGAGAACUUCUUCAAAGUUACACUGUAGGUCCUGGCAUUUUGACUUACUGGUGCUAAACAACUCGGUGCCCAUAAUAAAGAGUGAAAACCUUCCAGACAUCCUGGGGUAAUGUGUACUCACACAAACCCGUACAUGUUUCAUUAUGACCGUAGAUUAAGUCCAGUACCUAAGUUGUUGCACUUCAUCUAGCUCUUUCUGCUAAGCCUGUAGGGUGCAAUUGCUUUGCUGCAUGCAUUCACAAUACAGGAUGUUCCAAAUGUCCCCAUACAUAGGAAAAAUUAACACCUCCGACAGCUGUCCGAUGCAGCGAUGAGAAUGAUAGCAAGGUUGUUCUUUUGCCGUUCAGUCUAAACGGGUAUCUGAAAACAUCUGAAGACAUUCUGUCAAAAAAGUGUGGUAGUUUCUGCUACAUAUGGAGACUUUUGGGACACCCUGUAGUUGACUUUUUACUAUAUAAACUGGUCCCCAAACCAAUAAUAAACUUAUGCUACAGAAAGAUACAUGUGCAUGUCAGCUAUAGAACAUCAGACUUUUAUUUACUAUGCAAAGAUAUAUAUAUAUAUUGCACAAACUCGAAGAGUUGUUGGAUGUGAUAAUAAACUCAACACCAUUAUACACAAAAAAAGGCCCGUAAGGCCCAUCUUUUUUUUUAUUUAAAUUUUUUUUAUAUUGGCCAAACUAUUAAAUGUAUUGUGCUUCAAACUGAAAAAAAAGGAUGGUUGACAGAAUUCAUAUGGGUACUGAAUGAAUGUAUUUUACUUUUAUGAGAGUGAAUGUAUUGUAUCGGAUUUUGGGGGGAAAAUCUGGUAAUUAUUUACUUGACUGAUAUUUCAGGUGAGGUUUUAAGAUCUCACUUUUUAAAAAUGUGAUGCUUUAUUUUUCAUUAAUUAAUGACUAGUCCUCUAUUGUGAACAGAGGACAAACCUUGGCUCACAGUACAUGUACAGAAGUUCAUUCAAAUACAAAGAAAAUAUGAUCAAUAAACUUAUCAUGUUUCAGGA
RNA transcript from Clarias gariepinus (North African catfish), 4797 nucleotides. It is a transcript of the gene named disintegrin and metalloproteinase domain-containing protein 23, with no coding region annotated. The transcript is spliced from 25 exons. The record is from RefSeq and is a predicted model, not a curated record. NCBI's taxonomy places the organism in Eukaryota, Metazoa, Chordata, Actinopteri, Siluriformes, Clariidae.